RNAcentral lists this ribosomal RNA (253 nucleotides) under uncultured bacterium. Its description in RNAcentral is "partial 16S ribosomal RNA". It matches the Rfam family "Bacterial small subunit ribosomal RNA", at positions 524 to 776 of the family's 1533-position model. The record is from RNAcentral.
GACAGAGGGUGCAAACGUUGUUCGGAAUUACUGGGCGUAAAGCGCGUGUAGGCGGCUCUGCAAGUCGGAUGUGAAAUCCCACGGCUCAACCAUGGAAGUGCAUUCGAAACUGCAGGGCUAGAGUCCUGGAGAGGAAGGUGGAAUGCUUGGUGUAGAGGUGAAAUUCGUAGAUAUCAAGCGGAACACCGGUGGCGAAGGCGGCCUUCUGGACCGACAUUGACGCUGAGGAGCGAAAGCUAGGGGAGCAAACGGG